GUUCUAAAUUUAUAAUAGAAUUUUAUUUUUUAGUCAAAAAGCUAAAAUAAAUUUAAAAGACGAGAAGACCCUAUAAAUCUUUAUAUUUAGAUAAUUACAAUUUUGUGGAUUUUUUUUGUUGUGAUUGUUGAUAAUAUUUUAUUGGGGUGAUAUUAAAAUUUAAAAAACUUUUAAUUAAUUAAAUCAUUAAUUUAUGAAUAAUUGAUCCGUUAUUAACGAUUAAAAAUUUAAGUUACCUUAGGGAUAACAG
This 250-nucleotide ribosomal RNA is filed under the name Musca domestica (house fly). RNAcentral describes it as "partial 16S ribosomal RNA". Lineage: Eukaryota; Metazoa; Arthropoda; Insecta; Diptera; Muscidae. The record is from RNAcentral.